This 1486-nucleotide ribosomal RNA is filed under the name uncultured Bordetella sp. RNAcentral's name for it is "partial 16S-23S ribosomal RNA intergenic spacer". It matches the Rfam family "Bacterial small subunit ribosomal RNA". The record is from RNAcentral. Lineage: Bacteria; Pseudomonadati; Pseudomonadota; Betaproteobacteria; Burkholderiales; Alcaligenaceae.
GGUUCGACGGCGGCUCAGAUUUCUCGAACGCUAUGGGAUGUUUACACAUGCAAGUCGAACGGCAGCACGGACUUCGGUCUGGUGGCGAGUGGCGAACGGGUGAGUAAUGUAUCGGAACGUGCCUAGUAGCGGGGAUAACUACGCGAAAGCGUAGCUAAUACCGCAUACGCCCUCUGGGAAAGUGGGGACCUUCAAACUUCGCACUAUUAGAGCGUCAGGAUAUCGGAUUAGCUAGUUGGUGGGGUAACGGCUCACCAAGGCGACGUCGAUCCGCAGCUGGUUUGAUAUCGACCAGCCACACUGGACCGAGACACGGCCCAGACUACGGGAGGCGCAGUGGGGAAUUUUGGAUAAUGGGGAAACUCCUGAUCCGCGCCAUCCGGCGUGUGCGAAUAAGGCCUUCGGCCAGGCAAAGCACUUUUGGCAGGAAAGAAACGGCACGGGAUAAUACCUCGUGCAACUGACGGUACUCGCAGAAUAAGCACUUUACAAUUCAUGCGCCAGCAGCCGCGGUAAUACGUAGUGCAAGCGUUAAUCGGAAUUACUGGGCGGAAGCGUGCGCAGGCGGUUCGAAAGAGAUGGGAAAUCCCAGAGCUGAACUUUGAACUGCAUUUCUUUGAAUCACUGAGCCAGAGUAAACAGGGAGGUGGAAUUCCCGCGUGUAGCAGUGAAAUGCGCAGAUAUGCGGAGGAACACCCGACGGCGAAGGCAGCUCUGGGAUAAACACUGAUUGCUCAUGCACGAAAGCGUGGGGAGCAAACAGGAUUAGAUACCCUGGGCUCCACGCCCUAAACGAUGUCAACUAGCUGUUAGCUUCGCACCCUGGUAGCGCAGCUAACGCGUGAAGUUGACCGCCUGGGGAGUACGGUAUUCGUGAUUAAAACUCAAAGGAAUUGACGGGGACCCGCACAAGCGGUGGAUGAUGUGGAUUAAUCUGGAUAACGCGAAAAACCUUACCUACCCUUGACAUGUCUGGGAAAUCCCGAAGAGAGAUUUGGGAGUGCUCGCAAGAGAACGGACACAGGUGCUGCAUGGCUGUCGUCAGCUCGUGUCGUAAGAUGUUAAGCCAAGUCCCGCAACGAGCGCAACCCUUGUCAUUAGUUGCUACGAAAGGGCACUCGAAUGAGACUGCCGGUGACAAACCGGAGGAAGUGUAUGACGUUGGCGUCCUCAUGGCCUUAUGGUAGGGGCUUCAAGACGUCAUACAAUGGUCGGGACAGAGGGUCGCUAACCCGCGAGGGGGACGCCAACCCAGAAACCCGAUCGUAGUCCGGAUCGUGUAGUCUGCAACCUCCGACUGCGUGAAGUCGGGAAUCGCUAGUAACUGUGAUCAGCAAUGGUCGCAGUAAUACGUUCCCGGGUCUUGUACACACCGCCUGUCACACCAUGGGAGUGGUUUUACCAGAAGUGAUAGAAAUAACCGUAAGGGAGGGCGAUUAUCACUUAUAGGAUUCAUGACUGGGGGUGAAGUCGGGUCAAGGUGCAG